Molecule: long non-coding RNA, 269 nt
Filed under: Nicotiana benthamiana
Lineage: Eukaryota; Viridiplantae; Streptophyta; Magnoliopsida; Solanales; Solanaceae
Description: long non-coding RNA (NBEN_LNC020612)
Source: RNAcentral
UCUUCUCUCCUCUCCGAUGAGUUCCCUUCAUCUUCUCCAGCCACCUUCUGACAUGAGUCCAUGGUGAUUUUACCACCCACCAAGCCACAUAUGGCUUCUCACAUUGGUUAACCGAAGCUUCAUGACUCGACCACGAAGAGUUGGGUCCAGAAUUUUGUCGAUUUAAGUUCCACGGCCAUCUCCGGCCUUGCUCCGGCAAGCAGUGUCUGUUCGAGCCUGGCCUCAACUCCUCCUGCUUAGAUCCAAGCCUUUCUCACCGUUUAGGUUCC